RNAcentral lists this long non-coding RNA (568 nucleotides) under Penaeus japonicus. RNAcentral's name for it is "uncharacterized LOC122263197". The record is from RNAcentral. Lineage: Eukaryota; Metazoa; Arthropoda; Malacostraca; Decapoda; Penaeidae.
GAAGCUAGGCUGGCACGCCCCUCGCUCUCUGUCUCUGCUAUCCUACUGUCCUCUCAGCCACACACACAAACACACGCACACCCGCAGUGCCCCGAACCCAGUCUUAUUCCCACACCUUCUCCGCGCGUCGUGCUGUGGACACCCGCCGCCAGCCAUGUAAAGGCAACGCAAGGCAGCACUCGGGGACAGAGGGUGCCAGGACGUGAGUGCGUGAGAGCCGUGGCGGCACCAGGCAACCCAGACGAAAUCGUGAACUUCGUGGCAUCAGUGUGAUUCACUAGCCAUGGGGACGUGGGCGGUCUGGGCGGUGUUGCUCAUGCUGGCAGGGCUCGUGAGCGGCCAGGCCAGGGACACACGCCCACUCAUCAGACCUCCUCCGGAGGUCGUGGGGCCAGAGGGCAUGGAGGAGAUCCCGGAUGAGGCUUUCUUCGUCGACACCGUCAGGAGAAACGAGCUGAGUGAAAACGAGACUCCCGGCGUAGACGAGAGAAGAGGUGGAGGAGGAGGAGGAGGAGGAGGAGGAGGAGGAGGAGGAGGAGGAGGAGGGGGAAGAGGAGGAGGAAGAGGG